CUACGGGGCGCAGCAGUGAGGAAUAUUGCACAAUGGGGGGAACCCUGAUGCAGCAACGCCGCGUGGAGGAUGACGCAUUUCGGUGUGUAAACUCCUUUUAUAUGUCAAGAAAAUGACGGUAGCAUAUGAAUAAGCACCGGCUAACUCCGUGCCAGCAGCCGCGGUAAUACGGAGGGUGCAAGCGUUACUCGGAAUCUCUGGGCGUAAAGGACGCGUAGGCGGGUUGGUAAGUCAGGUGUGAAAUCCUACAGCUUAACUGUAGAGCUGCACUUGAAACUACCGACCUAGAGUAUGGGAGGGGAAGAUGGAAUUAGUGGUGUAGGGGUAACAUCCGUAGAUAUCACUAGGAAUACCUAAAGCGAAGGCGAUCUUCUGGAACAUUACUGACGCUAAGGCGUGAAAGCGUGGGGAGCAAACAGGAUUAGAUACCCUUGUAGUC
RNAcentral lists this ribosomal RNA (439 nucleotides) under uncultured bacterium. RNAcentral describes it as "partial 16S ribosomal RNA". It matches the Rfam family "Bacterial small subunit ribosomal RNA", at positions 339 to 795 of the family's 1533-position model. The record is from RNAcentral.